This 253-nucleotide ribosomal RNA is filed under the name uncultured bacterium. RNAcentral's name for it is "partial 16S ribosomal RNA". It matches the Rfam family "Bacterial small subunit ribosomal RNA", at positions 524 to 776 of the family's 1533-position model. The record is from RNAcentral.
UACGGAGGGGGCUAGCGUUGUUCGGAAUUACUGGGCGUAAAGCGCACGUAGGCGGCUUUGCAAGUUAGAGGUGAAAGCCCGGGGCUCAACUCCGGAAUUGCCUUUAAAACUGCAUCGCUAGAAUUGUGGAGAGGUAAGUGGAAUUCCGAGUGUAGAGGUGAAAUUCGUAGAUAUUCGGAAGAACACCAGUGGCGAAGGCGACUCACUGGACAUGUAAUGACGCUGAGGUGCGAAAGCGUGGGGAGCAAACAGG